This 45-nucleotide non-coding RNA is filed under the name Echinostoma caproni. The record is from RNAcentral. Lineage: Eukaryota; Metazoa; Platyhelminthes; Trematoda; Plagiorchiida; Echinostomatidae.
GCACUGCUGACGAGUCCCAAACAGGACCAAACAGCUGUUCAGUGC